AGAACAGAACAUCCUCUUUCUUUCCAGAGGGAAAGGUAGAGGAUGGCUUCUCCAGUGCCUUGAGAUUCAUCUGUGGCGGCAAAUAGACAUCAAUAAGGCCUGGGAUGUGUGCCCAGCCUUGUGAGCCAUGACUUGCUCAAGGUAUUGGAUCAAUGUUGCACCACAUGGCAUGCUGGUGACCAACACAGUGGGGCCUGAGAGACUGAGAAAAGGGCCUCAUGGAAGAUCUUAAAAAGGAGAUGGAGUUGUGUGUCAUCAGCACCCUGGUGGUACCAGACCACAAAAUUCUGGACAUCCUCUUUCAAGUUUUUCAGGUCACAGAACAGAGAGUCAAGGAAGCCAUGAGGACUGUAUGUAUGAGGGAUGAGGAGUUUGUAAUGCAAAAUGUACUGUGAGGCAUAUUUAUAAAUCCUUGAAGUCCCAGUUCAUCAGGAAAACAUUAUCUUGCUUUUUGCAUUCUCUCUCUCCCCCCCUUCUCUCCCUCUUUCCCUCUCCCUCUCCCUCUGUCUCUGUCUCUGUAUGUGUGUGUCCCCGAGAGAAGCUGUCUAUGGAGAAAGGUGUUACUGCCUAGUGGUUGAUGUGAUUCCUGUUAAAAUUCCCACAGCUUUGCCUCCAAGCUCUUUUUAAUGUUCUUGAGAUAAGGAAAGGGGCUUACAGAGCUGGCUAUACCACUAGGGAAAGUGAGGCAAUGAUUGCAGAUAGUUGUUUGGGAUGGGGUCAGGGUGAACUGGAGUGGCUACUUACUUACAUGUGGCAUACAGCUUGUCCUGACUGCAGAAACUGGUAUACAGUACUGUACUGCUCUAUGAAGGCUCAUUCAGAAGGCGAUCACAUUAUCAGUAUCUCUUCUGCCAGUUGAUUGAAUCAAGCCAAAUGGGAGCAGUGCUGAUAUGUUAACACCUGUGACAACGCCAUCCUAGUUCCUGGAGCUAGGUUAGGUGGGCCUUUAAUACCACCCAGCAGGACUCUUCUUAUGUUCUUUAAUCUGGCCAGUGUUGUGAAUAAGAGGCUAGAAAACGUGCAGAGUGCCUGAGGAUCUCUCAGUCUUCUGGCUUCAUUUGCCUGGGCAAGGGGUCACUCAUCUUUCCUGUUAAAAUACUUUGUAACUUUGAUUCCAUUCCUUUAGUAGCUUGAAAAAGGUUUUCCUAUGGACAGUAAUACUGACUCCUAAUGAACAGGAUCACCGCCUUGUAUAAAUGACACGUAUUUUAACAGAGACAUCUUUUACUGAAUCUACUUCCAAAAGCAGUGAUAUACAUGUUUUACUAUUUUCUCAGAAGCGGUAAUUUGUAUUAUCACUGUUCUUUGCAGGACGUCGUUCUUAGCCAAUCAAAGGCUCAAUGAUCAAUACAGUUUUCCACGCACCCAGUAUGAAAUAUUGUAUAUUGCUGUGCUUCUGAACUUCAUACAAAUCCCUCUGAAUUGGUCUGAUUUUUUAAUUAUUAUUUUGAAUUAGGGAGUCAGCCAAUUCACUGGUUCCCACCCCUGCCUUAAAGAUGCUCAAGCAGUGCCAAGGAUGGGAAAUCUAUAUAUCUGUGAUACAUGCCUUAGUUACUUCCCAGCUAGAUUACUUUAAUGUGCUCUA
This is a non-coding RNA of Pogona vitticeps (central bearded dragon), 1585 nucleotides long. The record is from RefSeq and is a predicted model, not a curated record. Lineage: Eukaryota; Metazoa; Chordata; Lepidosauria; Squamata; Agamidae.